AAUAGAUACCCCGGUAGUCCACACUGUAAACGUUGAUAACUCGCUGUUGGCGAUACACAGCCAGCGGCUAAGCGCAAGCGAUAAGUUAUCCACCUGGGGAGUACGCCGGCAAGGUUAAAACUCAAAGGAAUUGACGGGGGCCCGCACAAGCAGCGGAGCGUGUGGUUUAAUUCGAUGCUAAGCGAAGAACCUUACCAGGGCUUGACAUGUAAGUGGUACUGAACCGAAAGGCGAGGGACCCGCAAGGGAGCUUACACAGGUGCUGCAUGGUUGUCGUCAGUUCGUGCCGUGAGGUGUUGGGUUAAGUCCCGCAACGAGCGCAACCCUUGUCGCUAGUUAAAUUCUCUAGCGAGACUGCCCCUAAAAGGGAGGAAGGAGGGGAUGAUGUCAAAUCAUCAUGGCUCUUACGGUCCUGGGGCUACACACACGCUACAAUGGCCAGUACAGACGGUUGCUAAAUCGCGAGAUGGAGCCAAUCCGAUAAAGCUGGUCUCAGUUGGGAUUGCAGGCUGAAACCCGCCUGCAUGAACGUG
Molecule: ribosomal RNA, 533 nt
Filed under: uncultured bacterium
Lineage: Bacteria
Description: bacterial SSU rRNA
Rfam family: Bacterial small subunit ribosomal RNA
Source: RNAcentral